GGAUGUAAGGGCAAUCUGGUGGUGACAUCUCACCCCAUUGAUCACCAGGAUUGAUUUGGUUGAUCUGACUGGCUAGGCAGAUGCCCCCUUCCUCCCUCACUGCAUGCUUGGUCAAAAAGGAUGACUAUCCCCACUAGAGGAGGACCAUUCUUCAGUCAAGGGUAUACAAGUAGCUGUGAUCAAAUAGCCAAUGGAAUCCUAAGCAAAAAGAAUAAAGCUGGAGGCAUCACAUAAGUGACCUUAAAUU
RNAcentral lists this small nuclear RNA (247 nucleotides) under Carlito syrichta (Philippine tarsier). Its description in RNAcentral is "7SK RNA (ENSTSYG00000036203.1)". It matches the Rfam family "7SK RNA". From Rfam's summary of the family: 7SK was discovered as an abundant small nuclear RNA in the mid-70s but a possible function has only recently been suggested. Two independent studies have found that 7SK RNA binds the CDK9/cyclin T complex (known as elongation factor P-TEFb). P-TEFb activates transcription by phosphorylating the C-terminal domain of RNA polymerase II. The record is from Rfam by way of RNAcentral. Lineage: Eukaryota; Metazoa; Chordata; Mammalia; Primates; Tarsiidae.